UGAUGUUUCACCUGGCACGACGUGCUCCACAGUACCGCUGUUUCGGAAUUCUCUUUUUUUUUUUUCCGUUUAAUUUCUCCUUGGGGAGGGACUUUUUCCUCUGUUCUUUUGUUUUUAAGACCUUCCUUCCCUUCUUCGCUGAUGCACAGUUUGGAAGUGGAGUUCCUGGAGAGUGAACCUGGCAGUGAGGGCAGGUUUCCCUGAAAGCUGAGGCUGUUUCUUAUUCCCUAGGAGCCUGAGAAGAGAGGGGACCCUGGAUGUCAGCCCGAUCUCCUUUUUUAUUUAUUUUGACUUUGUGGCAGAUUUCAUCUUUCAGCUCUGGGAAUUGACAAAUGCAAUUCAUGUAGGCACCUUUACAUGUCUUACAAACAAGACUGACACUGUGAAGUUGAUACGUCAACACUUUUCCUAGUAAACCAGUGGUAUGCUCUUCUAUUAAUUGGUAUUAGAAAGUGCAGCCUUGUAACACAGUUAUUGAAUAAUCAUUAAUCCACGGAGGAUACACAAGCCCAAAGGUUAAUAAUGAUGUUUGCUUGCCCAGCCUUCUACAAGAACUGUAGAAAGUCGUACGCAUCUGCUCAUCCCUGAAGUCUGGAACUGUACAGCCAAAACUCUCUACAGAAUAUGUGUUCAUAUAUUGUAUUUAUGCAUGUAUUUAUGCUGACAGCUACAUUUUAUCACUGAGUUUUUUCAGAGUGCUGAUUUGAGGAAAGUGGGUGCAGAUCUCAUUCAAGUAAUCAUCCUCCAAUACCACUAGUGUUACCUGCCAAAAAUGAAAGUGGCAUAUGAAUCACAAUAAUCCACUCAUUAAUUUGUGGAUUCAGAGCCUGCCAAGGAACAUCAGAAAUCCACGUGAUGUCCCUGAGUUUUAGGGACUUUGAAAGAUGUGUAAAAGUGCAUUUAUCCAAAGACUGUCUUAUUGAUGACUUAUCUUACUGAUAAGGGCUACUGACAUAACCUAAAGACCACAAGAACUGAAAAUAUUUAUGUCCAAAUCUUUCCCUUCCAGGCGGAAUAGUGAAAGUGGUGAAUCUGCCAACUGUAGCUAUGUCGGAGGCCCUUCCUGAGGUGCCUCUUCUUGAGUGCUACUGUGACCUAGUGACUUGGAGAUACACUUUUACUUAAGAAGAGCUAUCGGAUCCUCUGUGAAAUAUCACAGAUGCUUUCUGAUUCUUUCAGAUAUGCAUAUAUCUUUAUGCUUACACCUGAGCAGAGAGGGGUGGGGAGGGGAGCAGAGCAGGGAGUAGAGUGGGGUUAAGAGCAUCCACAUAGAUCCUGCAAACAAAUAAAUACAUGUAUAUUUUCUUUAUCUGAUGUUACUUGGUGCUUGAAAUGGAAUGAUCAAUAUUAAGAAGAAAUACUUCAUUAUUGUGUGCAUACUUGAGAGUUAUGUUGGUUGAUAGAGAAGGCCAUUUUCUGCCUGUCAUUACAGAUAUUCAACAGACCUGUAACUCUGAUCUGUCUUACACAAACCACACAUCUCUCAAUGACAAAAACUCUCAGUAAUGCUCAGAUACUGAUAUCAUUCCCAAGUAUAUGUACCUAAUCAAGUAUGGCUUAUUUUCAGCUCCUAGUAUAUUGCUAAUGCUACAGUAGUGAAAAACAGUAUGCGCUACCUACCACUUCUUAUGAUUCCUUGCUUUCUUUAUGAUUUACUUUAAGCUAAGCACGCCAGAAACUGAAAAUAACAUUUGAGCCUUUUCUCCUCUGACAUAGGAAAACAACUGCCUAAUUUCUGUAAUCUGUUCAUAUGUUAGUACUUCUGAAACAAAGCAAAAAGCCUGCUCGCUAUGACAAGGUCUGCCCAUAGCUGUCUCAGCAGCUUAAUGAAAUGUUAAGGCCUGGUUUAAGUAACUACGCUCCAAAUGUUAUUAGUGUUAUCUGUUGUAGAUGAAAAUGGCAGUGAACAACACAACCACACAGGAGUGGCCCUAUGUGUGUAUUGUAUAUCAAGUAACCGUGAUAAGCUUUUUCAAAACCUUAUUUGAUUUUUGAUCUCGAUGGUGGCUCAGUGGAAGAGACUCAAAUGACUUUUUCUGAACAUGGCUGCAACUUUCACUGCGUCUCUGUAGUCACUUGACUAUCUUUCUGAACAUGUUGGUUAGCAUUGUCCUCCUCUGCUUAGGUCUAAGCUACCUCACUAUCUGAAUGUCUUUCCUGAAAAUUCAUUCACUGAAAUGGGUAUCAUAUGGAUAAUAGCAAAUUCAUCUGACCUUUUCCAGACUGACUUGAUUUUCCUCCACUCCUUCACUGAGUGUUCAUGUUUUCAGGCCCAGGACCUCAGUCCAUUCAGCUUCUCUCUGAGGUGAUAACUACUAGAGAUGCUCCACAUCUUCCUACAGAAGAUCUUAUUACCUAAAUAAGUAAACUGCAUCCUGUAGAUACCUUCGUAAAACUUCUGCUUUACAGAAGAGAGAAUGAACUUGUUACAGAUGCAUGAGUGACAUCAAACGUGCUUCUGUUUUGCCUGAUUGCCCUCUCAGCCUUCUGACAAUCUGAAACUUUCAUUUUGGAAGGGACUGAAGGAGUUGUGUUAAUAUUUGUAUUUGUGUAACCACUUUUCCUGUACAUUAUCUGCCCUUCUCUGCUCUUCCCCUUUGGUGUCUGGUUUGUCUUGGCUGCUUUUUAAAGUUCUGUUGCCUCUAAUGAGUGACUGUUAGAUUAAACCAGUGAGGAGAAACCAGGUGACUGUCUCUACUUUUACAAAUACAGGUUAUGUAUAAUAAAUUCAGAUUUUACAUCUAUGCAAAUUAAAUCAUCAUAUGAUUCUGA
Molecule: non-coding RNA, 2772 nt
Organism: Struthio camelus australis
Lineage: Eukaryota; Metazoa; Chordata; Aves; Struthioniformes; Struthionidae
Source: RefSeq, a predicted model, not a curated record